Molecule: ribosomal RNA, 1319 nt
Filed under: uncultured fungus
Lineage: Eukaryota; Fungi
Description: eukaryotic LSU rRNA
Rfam family: Eukaryotic large subunit ribosomal RNA (bases 636-1319)
Source: RNAcentral
CUUGGUCAUUUAGAGGAAGUAAAAGUCGUAACAAGGUUUCCGUAGGUGAACCUGCGGAAGGAUCAUUAAUGAAUUAAAUCGAAAGCGAGUUGUCGCUGGUCUCUCGAGGCAUCGUGCACGCUCUUCUUUCCUUCAUUCAUCUACCCCCCUAUGUGCACUUACCGUAGGCCGAGAAAUUUGGCCUAUGUAUUUUAUUACACCCCAUAAAAGUUUAAUGAAUGUUUCAAAUAAGAUCGAGGACGCGAGUCUUUCGAUUUUAAUAAUAAAUUAUACAACUUUCAACAACGGAUCUCUUGGCUCUCGCAUCGAUGAAGAACGCAGCGAAAUGCGAUAAGUAAUGUGAAUUGCAGAAUUCAGUGAAUCAUCGAAUCUUUGAACGCACCUUGCGCCCCUUGGUAUCCCGAGGGGCAUGCCUGUUUGAGUGUCAUUAAAUUAUCAACUCGAAAAUCUUGCGUUUUCGAUGUUUGGAAUUGGAGCGUGCGGGGCCCUACGAGGCUCUGCUCCUCUUGAAAUGCAUUAGUGGAACUUCUGAUUGCAGACCUGCUCCAGCGUGAUAAUUAUCUACGUUGCGGUAGUGAAGUCGGAGGAUCUGCUUACAACCGUUGCAUAUAUGCGCAACAAAACUCAUGACAAUUUGACCUCAAAUCAGGUAGGAUUACCCGCUGAACUUAAGCAUAUCAAUAAGCGGAGGAAAAGAAACUAACAAGGAUUCCCCUAGUAACUGCGAGUGAAGCGGGAAAAGCUCAAAUUUAAAAUCUGGCGGCCCCUGUGACUGUCCGAGUUGUAAUCUAGAGAAGUGUUAUCCGUGCCGGACCGUGUACAAGUCUCUUGGAAUAGAGCGUCAUAGAGGGUGAGAAUCCCGUCUUUGACACGGACUACCGGUGCAUUGUGAUGCGCUCUCAACGAGUCGAGUUGUUUGGGAAUGCAGCUCAAAAUGGGUGGUAAAUUCCAUCUAAGGCUAAAUAUUGGCGAGAGACCGAUAGCGAACAAGUACCGUGAGGGAAAGAUGAAAAGAACUUUGGAAAGAGAGUUAAACAGUACGUGAAAUUGUUGAAAGGGAAACGCUUGAAGUCAGUCGCGUCGUCUGGGGAUCAACCUUCUCUUGAGUUGGAGCACUUCCCAGUUGACGGGUCAGCAUCAAUUUUGAUUGUUGGAUAAAAGCUGGAGGAAUGUGGCAUCUCCGGAUGUGUUAUAGCCUCUCGCCGCAUACAACAGUUGGGAUUGAGGAACUCAGUACGCCGCAAGGCCGGGGUUCACCCACGUACGUGCUUAGGAUGCUGGCAUAAUGGCUUUAAUCGACCCGUCUUGAAACACGGACC